AACGAGGUUGUCGUCGAUGCUGGAUAGCUCAUCCUGCAUGACUGCUCCAAUCCAUAUGCCUGCAUCUCUUUGUGGGUGACUAAUUUUUUUAUGGGUUGGGCUACCAUAAUCAGAAGCAAAUGCAUGUGCUAUCUGAUCUGUAAUUCGUGGUUUUGGAAUGAAACAUUCGUACUUGAAUUAUUUGAAAGUGUUGGACCAAUACUUGAUGGUGAAGCAGCAUGGUGCCAUGUCAGAUACUGUUACUGACCCUCCUACGUGGCAAAGUUAGCAUCAAAAUUUCGCAAUUGUUUGAUUGUGAUACGAUCAACAUGGGAAUUGCUAUGCAUUGCUAAUGUUUUGGAUAGAAAUUCUUGCAGGUUGUCGGGUAUUCAAAGUGCAGCCUUUUUGUUCCAUGAUGUGAUGACGAGUUUUGUCCAUUGGAUUAGGGUUAUUGGUGUGGGUUCAGUUUAAUUGUGAUAGGGUCAACGUGGGAAAUGCUAUGCGUUGCAGAGGUUUUGGAUAGUUGUUAGAGGUAUGCAAAUUCCAGCCAUUUUAUUCCAUGAUCUGAUGAAGAGUUGCCUUUUGUCCAUUGGAUUAAGAUUAAUGCUUUGGGUUCAUUUAAAGUACAAUAUUUUAUUGUGCAUUUCUCUUGUAUGAUUUGUGUUCUGUUUGCUUUGGUUGGAACAAUCGUAGUUGUAAAGGUCGAUUGUUGUGACGGAGCGCAAAGGAAACGAAUGGUUGGAUUGAACUUGAAGAAUAGCCGAAAUUACCCUACACUUUUUGAUUGUCUCGUAUGUUACUUACAAAAAAAUGACCACCAGGGUUUAUUUUGUUUUCCGUAGCCAUAUUUCCCCAUUAAUGGCGAUAAAUCCGUAACAAGGAGGGGGGGGUAAUGAUGCGGUUAUCAACGGAGAAAGACGUUCAUUACGUGAUGGUUUGUUAAAUUCUACGGUAGUGUAGAAUUCUAGGUUUUCCUGGGAAGUGCCACUGCAAAUUUUAUUUUUUCAUAACUCUUGUCUGGCAUAUUUUAAUUGUACUUCUCUGCAUUGACAUAGUAUGUUCAUUUAUGGAAUUGUCAAUAAAACAAAUUAAAAUAA
Long non-coding RNA from Daphnia carinata, 1076 nucleotides. RefSeq lists it as uncharacterized. Lineage: Eukaryota; Metazoa; Arthropoda; Branchiopoda; Diplostraca; Daphniidae. The transcript has 8 exons. The record is from RefSeq and is a predicted model, not a curated record.